RNAcentral lists this transfer RNA (79 nucleotides) under Streptomyces lavendulae subsp. lavendulae. RNAcentral describes it as "tRNA-Ser". Lineage: Bacteria; Bacillati; Actinomycetota; Actinomycetes; Kitasatosporales; Streptomycetaceae. The record is from RNAcentral.
GCCGCGUACGGCGGCGCGGCCGCCGGUCCGCUGGAGGCGGUCCGGGUGCAGCGGGCGAUCGCCUCGCUCUCGCCGUCCC